Long non-coding RNA from Brassica napus (rape), 3001 nucleotides. RefSeq lists it as uncharacterized. The transcript is spliced from 2 exons. Lineage: Eukaryota; Viridiplantae; Streptophyta; Magnoliopsida; Brassicales; Brassicaceae. The record is from RefSeq and is a predicted model, not a curated record.
GGCCUGUGUAUUUGAGCGUGAUGCGUAGAGGCAGGUACGGAGGUAGGUGCGAGUUUUGAAGGUUCUGGACACUUCAAAGGAUACCCAAAUCGACCCCUCUUUCAAGAGGUACAUACCCCUUUUUAUCUUUGCGCGAAACUUCCCUUUUUAGGGAGAAUUUCCCUUUCUCUUGCGAGGACCGAGUUUCCUUUUUUGAUGCCGGUUGUUUAUGCCAAGGAUUUUCUGGGAUAUUUGGAAACAUCCUUGUUUCCUUUUCCGGCUCCACGAAGAGGGGUGAUCCGGACGUAUAUAAGGGCUCGUGAUAUCUCCCUACUGGCCUCAAUCCAAUUCCGGCGCUGACUUCCGGUUGAGAAAGAUCAAUCCCAAACUGCUUGCCACGUCCUCACUCGUGGGUGGUCGUUGUUGGGGUCAAAAUCGGUCACGACAGAAUCAAUUUCUGAAAAUCGGUCACGACGGAUUCCGAAGAACAUUCAAAUUCCUCGUAUAACAUAGGCAAUUCGAGGUGUUCAGCUAACCGUUGUCGUUUUAUACGAUCAAUCCGAAUUCGAGAGAAUGAGUUCUUGCGGUUUUUAAAUCGUAAAGUUCCAAUGGUGACUCAGAUCAAGAAGAAACAAGAGCAGGUUCGAUCGAAUCCCAAAGGGGGGGAGCUACGAGGACGUGGCGAAGGCAGGCUGAUUGAUCCAACUCGCCGAACGGGUGAGUUGGAUGGCUUGAUCGAUCCAACUCGCCCGUUCAUCGAGUUGAACGGCUGGGUCGAUUCAACUCGCCCGUUCGGCGAGUUGGACGGUGUGGUCUGUCCAACUCGCCGAACGGGCGAGUUGGUCGGUGCAUCCGGUCCAACUCGCCCUUUCGGCGAGUUGGACGAUGGGUGUUUCCCUGUCCGGGAUCCGUUGUCCUAGGCCUUGAGUAACCUUUCUCGAAGACUUAUCAUGUGAAUCCUUUUCGGAAUUGUUGUGAACUUGAUUUUAGGUUUUGACACUUCUCUAUUCUUUUUAAUUUUAUCUCUCUUUUCCAAAGAGUACAUUUUCCGGGAAGUUUCUGACAUUGAUUCCAUCGUUACCGAUUUUGACCGCAAUAGUUAGCCCCCAUCUCGCUAGAAUUUUUGCGAUGUUCUUGGGAGCUGUUAGGCAGGUCAGGUAAGUUAGGCGGAAUUAAUGGUUGGAAGUUGUCUGUUCACUCUACUAAAAGUGGAGUGCGAUAAGAUUGGGGCUGCGCCUUGUGAAGGCUUCCUACGCACACUUGUCGAAGGGAUCAAGCCUUUCGUAGUUCGUCCUAGAGUUGAGAUUCUUACAACCUGUUUACUAGUCAGACCUUUACGGUCUAGUUAGUCGUGUAGAGGAUAUUAAGCAUUUAUAUGAGUGUAGAGGGAAGACUACGAGUUGUCAUCUCGUAAUCUAACUCUGGGUGAGCUGCUAUAUUUGUGAUCUGUUUCAAGAGUUUUCCACAGUGCGUAAACUUACGGGAUUUCUGAAGACGCUCGAAUAUUAGCCAAGAGAAAAUUUUUGGGAUCUCGUAUCAGAGUGUUUGAUACUAUGCCUAGAGAUGUUAGAAACCAGUGUGCUAGAUUUAGGGCAAGAUCUAGGUCUAAUCACGGCUUUAGGGGGUGCGAUGACUACUUCGACUUACGUUUCCCGUAUCAUUUUCGACAUGAUUCCGUCCCGCUUUAAAGUCUGCGAUAUGUUCUCGGCUUACGUGACUUGAAUGGUAGGAAUUGAGCAUCUCUUCGAGGACAAUUUUUAAGUCUCCCGAAUGUGCUGGCCAAAAUUUUCAAUUUUUUAUAUAGCGUUAUUACCCUUGUGUCGGGUGUUCGAGAGCUAUCUCUACGAGAUGGCUUAGACUGAUUUGGACGUUAAGAGUUUAUUGUGAUCAGCAACAAACUUAUCGGUAGAUAUUACCGUUUUGGAGUCUUCGCGAAGAAUGCGUGUUUAAGAAAAUGUUGACGAGGAAGGUAUUUUUGUCGAAAACACUUAUUCUUUAAGCGUCUGUGACGUUUCGCGAUGCUGAAGAUUGGUUUUUCUUUUGCAUACUGCGUUUCGUGGUAUAAAUGUUUGCGGGCCUGAAGAUGUUUUGCGGUGUUGCAAGAGUUUAGUCUUAAUCCUACGCCGGAGAAACAUUUUUGGUUUGUGUGCGGAUGUUUAAAGCCAAAACUGUUGUUGCUGUUUGGAUGCUAAUAGUUCGAUUUGCGAUAGAGGAAUUAGGAUCAUUGAUGUGUUGUGAUUUUGCAUAGUUUUAGCUUUGUUAUUUCAUAUAUAUUCAUGCAUUAACCUUACAUUUAUUUGCAUUUAGAGUCUAUUGCAUGUACAUUUGCAUCUUGUAGGUGUUGGAUGAAUUGUUUGGAGUUUUGGAGGUGAUUAGAGCACAAAAGGAGCUUUCGAGGAGUCUUGAACCGAACGUGUGAAAGACAGGCAUGGAUGAAGGUCUUAAAGAUAUCUUUUGAAACUUGUCUUUUGGGAAGACAUGGUAAAUUGAGUUAGCUUUACAAUGGAGGUGGUUUCAAGUCGUUUGGAGCUGUAUUGAGGGAUUUAUGAUCAAAAUACUACACACAUAUCAGUGUGUGCAACAUGGAGAAAGUGGAGAAAACUUUAAUGAGUGAGUUUUAUCUCUUUAAAGCUUGCAACAUGGGGGAUGGGUUGUCUAUCAUGAGUUUGGUGGCUCUUUUGGCCUAACUUUCUCUACCUUUUCUGAAGAGGCAAGACUACUUUGGCCAUAUGAAGGGGCAAAAGGUGUUCUAUAAUGGAAGAAAGUGGAGAAUAACUUUUAUGAGUGUGUUUUAUGCUUUAUGCUUUCACAUGAUGGAUGUGUUGUCAUCCUCCUUUACUUAGGCUAUAAAAGAGACUGCAAGGGGAAGGAGGAAGACACACAAUACACAGAGUACAAUACAACAAAGAGUAGAGAGUGAAAGUUUUAUAGUUUCAUAUUUUGUAUUUUGAGAGUUUGAGAGAAAACAUUUGUUCUUGAGCUGUUCUUCAUUGUUCAUCAUCUAUUCUUGAGUUUUAAUUUC